AUACGGAGGAUGCGAGCGUUAUCCGGAUUUAUUGGGUUUAAAGGGAGCGUAGGUGGGAUAUUAAGUCAGCUGUGAAAGUUUGGGGCUCAACCUUAAAAUUGCAGUUGAUACUGGUUUCCUUGAGUACGGUACAGGUGGGCGGAAUUCGUGGUGUAGCGGUGAAAUGCUUAGAUAUCACGAAGAACUCCGAUCGCGAAGGCGGCUCACCGGGCCGGAACUGACACUGAUGCUCGAAAGUGCGGGUAUCAAACAGGAUUAGAUACCCUGGUAGUCCGCACAGUAAACGAUGAAUACUCGCUGUUUGCGAUACACGGUAAGCGGCCAAGCGAAAGCGUUAAGUAUUCCACCUGGGGAGUACGCCGGCAACGGUGAAACUCAAAUGAAUUGGCGGGG
This 393-nucleotide ribosomal RNA is filed under the name uncultured bacterium. RNAcentral's name for it is "partial 16S ribosomal RNA". It matches the Rfam family "Bacterial small subunit ribosomal RNA", at positions 523 to 918 of the family's 1533-position model. The record is from RNAcentral.